CUACAGGAUUCCCCUAGUAACGGCGAGUGAAGCGGGAUGAGCUCAAGCUUAAAAUCUCUGUCACAAAUUUAUUUUGUGCGGCGAAUUGUAGUCUAUAGAGGCGUGAUCAGUGUAGGCGCUUGAGGUAAGUUCCUUGAAAAAGGACAGCAUGGAGGGUGAAACUCCCGUUCAUACUUAAGUGGCUUGCACGUACGAUUCGUUUUCUUUGAGUCGCGUUGUUUGAGAAUGCAGCGCAAAGUAGGUGGUAAAUUCCAUCUAAAGCUAAAUAUUGGUGCGAGACCGAUAGCGAACAAGUACCGUGAGGGAAAGAUGAAAAGAACUCUGAAAAGAGAGUUAAAGAGUACCUGAAACUGCUGAAAGGGAACCAAAUCGUUUCUAGUGUCUAUAAUCUAUGACAUAUUUCAUUGGGAAGUGUGUGCGUGUGUAUACUAUGGCAGCGGCUUUUUUUAGUUGCGCUUGGUGUGCGUGCUGUAUGUACUAACUGAUGCCCUGUGUUAUAGUGGGACGUCAAGGUCAGUUUGUAUACUGCGGGAAAUGGCUACUGAGGAGGUAGGGCUUACGCUUGCGUUUGUCUAUUAUAUCUUGGUAGUUGUGUCGUGGUUGAGACUGAGGUGUUCUACAACGUGCUUAUGAGUGGGUCUACGUCUCCGUGUGCGCCGUGUGCAGAUAGCUUGCUAUGUGUAUGUGGUGGUGUGUGGAUUGAUAUGGGCUUUAUCUUACUGCCGUUCGGGACUUUGACGAAAUAGAGCGAUUUGACCCGUCUUGAAACACGGACCAAGGAGUCUAACAUAUGUGCAAGUGUUAGGGUGUGGAAACCCCAGCGCGAAAUGAAAGUAAAGGAUAGUGUAAACUAUCUUAGGUAGGAAAYGUUAUGAACUUCGGUUUGUGGCGUGGCACUAUCGACCGAUCAUGAACCCUCGUGGUGAAAGAUUUGAGUUUGAGCACAUAUGUUGGUACCCGAAAGAUGGUGAACUAUGCCUGAGUAGGGUGAAGCCAGGGAAACUC
RNAcentral lists this ribosomal RNA (1005 nucleotides) under Hyaloperonospora parasitica. RNAcentral's name for it is "LSU rRNA". It matches the Rfam family "Eukaryotic large subunit ribosomal RNA", at positions 65 to 864 of the family's 3401-position model. Lineage: Eukaryota; Oomycota; Peronosporomycetes; Peronosporales; Peronosporaceae. The record is from RNAcentral.